GACGGAGGAUGCAAGUGUUAUCCGGAAUCACUGGGCGUAAAGCGUCUGUAGGUGGUUUGAAAAGUCCACUGUUAAAAAUUGAGGCUUAACCUCAAAGAUGCCGUGGAAACUUUCAAACUCGAGUAUGGUAGGGGUAGAGGGAAUUUCCAGUGGAGCGGUGAAAUGCGUAGAUAUUGGAAAGACCACCGAUGGCGAAGGCACUCUACUGGGCCAUGACUGACACUGAGAGACGAAAGCUAGGGGAGCGAAUGGG
RNAcentral lists this ribosomal RNA (253 nucleotides) under uncultured bacterium. RNAcentral's name for it is "partial 16S ribosomal RNA". It matches the Rfam family "Bacterial small subunit ribosomal RNA", at positions 524 to 776 of the family's 1533-position model. The record is from RNAcentral.